This 141-nucleotide ribosomal RNA is filed under the name bacterium. RNAcentral's name for it is "partial 16S ribosomal RNA". It matches the Rfam family "Bacterial small subunit ribosomal RNA", at positions 338 to 499 of the family's 1533-position model. The record is from RNAcentral.
CCUACGGGAGGCAGCAGUGGGGAAUCUUGCGCAAUGGGCGAAAGCCUGACGCAGCCAUGCCGCGUGAAUGAUGAAGGUCUUAGGAUUGUAAAAUUCUUUCAGUAGGGACGAUAAUGACGGUACUACAGAGAGCCCNAANNG